This 576-nucleotide long non-coding RNA is filed under the name Gallus gallus (chicken). The record is from RNAcentral. Lineage: Eukaryota; Metazoa; Chordata; Aves; Galliformes; Phasianidae.
GGAUUCUGUCUCAUUUAACAGAGUAACGCUGCAUUUGCCUCUAAUGUGUGUGGCUGGCAGGGAUUCCAGCUGUCGCGAGAGAAAUAACUCACGAUGUCGUAACUGAUGCUUCUGUUUCUCUGGCAAGUCGACCAUUUCUGGGUUUUCCAUCUCUUCUUCCAUUUCUCUUGCAUGUUUAUCUGCCAAUACAAUAAGUGUGCUUGAAAUGUCUCUUCUUCUGUAGAAACACACCACCUUUGCUUCCACAUUUCCAUUGGCGGUCUUAUUGAGUUCUUCUAUUCUUCGUAUCAAAUAUGGGUUACUUGAUGAAUUUUCAAAGUAGACGUAAUCUCCCACCCGGUACAUGUUGGCGGCCAUGCCCGGGACGGGGCCGGGUGCGGGGCGCGGGCCGCUCCCGCCGCCUCCUCCUUCUCCUCCUCCAGGAGAGGGCAGAGUGAUGCGAGUCGGAGUUGGCACGCAGUUCCUGGCUCCUGGUGUGCAGUCCCUGGGACGGACAGAGGUCCCUCCGAGCGUGGCUAGAAGUUAGAUUUGGAGUGUCCAAAUAUGCAGAUGGGAAAGUGCUUGACAUGAGAGGAC